This 327-nucleotide ribosomal RNA is filed under the name uncultured eukaryote. RNAcentral's name for it is "partial 18S ribosomal RNA". It matches the Rfam family "Eukaryotic small subunit ribosomal RNA", at positions 1470 to 1796 of the family's 1831-position model. The record is from RNAcentral.
CCCUUAGAUGUUCUGGGCCGCACACGCGCUACACUGAAGGAGGCAGCGUGUACUCCUGGAUCGAAAGAUUUGGGUAACCCGCGAAUCUCCUUCGUGCUAGGGAUUGAGGUUUGCAAUUAUCCUUCAUGAACGAGGAAUUCCCAGUAAGUGCAAGUCAUAAGCUUGCGCUGACUACGUCCCUGCCCUUUGUACACACCGCCCGUCGCUACUACCGAUUGAAUGAUUUAGUGAGGACUUCGGACUGGGACCGAUGCGGCUUUCGGGCUGCGUCGGUAUUCUGGAAAGAUGUCCAAACUGUAUCAUUUAGAGGAAGUAGAAGUCGUAACA